GUGUCAGCCGCCGCGGUAAGACAGAGGGUGCAAACGUUGUUCGGAAUUACUGGGCGUAAAGCGCGUGUAGGCGGCCGCGUAAGUCGGAUGUGAAAGCCCUCGGCUCAACUGGGGAAGUGCACCCGAAACUGCGUGGCUUGAGUCUCGGAGAGGAUCGUGGAAUUCUCGGUGUAGAGGUGAAAUUCGUAGAUAUCGAGAGGAACACCGGUGGCGAAGGCGGCGAUCUGGACGGUGACUGACGCUGAGACGCGAAAGCGUGGGGAGCAAACAGGAUUAGAAACCCUCGUAGUCC
RNAcentral lists this ribosomal RNA (292 nucleotides) under uncultured bacterium. Its description in RNAcentral is "partial 16S ribosomal RNA". It matches the Rfam family "Bacterial small subunit ribosomal RNA", at positions 505 to 796 of the family's 1533-position model. The record is from RNAcentral.